UGAGGAAUAUUGGUCAAUGGGCGUGAGCCUGAACCAGCCAAGUAGCGUGCGGGAUGAAGGCCCUCCGGGUCGUAAACCGCUUUUAGACGGGGAUAGAAGGGCGUACGCGUACGCCGUAUUGCAUGUACCGUCAGAAAAAGGACCGGCUAAUUCCGUGCCAGCAGCCGCGGUAAUACGGAAGGUCCGGGCGUUAUCCGGAUUUAUUGGGUUUAAAGGGAGCGUAGGCGGACUUUCAAGUCAGUGGUAAAAUCGUGUGGCUCAACCAUACCUCGCCAUUGAAACUGGAAGUCUGGAGUGCACACAGGGGUGCCGGAAUUCAUGGUGUAGCGGUGAAAUGCUUAGAUAUCAUGAAGAACUCCGAUCGUGAAGGCAAGUGCCCGGGGUGCAACUGACGCUGAGGCUCGAAGGUGCGGGUAUCGAACAGGAUUAGAUACC
This 435-nucleotide ribosomal RNA is filed under the name uncultured bacterium. Its description in RNAcentral is "bacterial SSU rRNA". It matches the Rfam family "Bacterial small subunit ribosomal RNA", at positions 355 to 786 of the family's 1533-position model. The record is from RNAcentral.